GACAGAGUUAGGGAGGGAAGGGGUGACUAGUGACAGAGUGAGGGGUGACUAGGGACAGAGUGAGGGAGGUGGUGACUAGUGACUAGUGACAGUCACCACCUCCCUCACUCUGUCACUAGUCACCACCUCCCUCACUGUGUCACCCACUCCCUCCCUCACUCUGUCACUAGUCACCCCUUCCUUCCCUCUGUCACUAGUCACCCCUUCCCUCACUCUGUC
Molecule: non-coding RNA, 219 nt
Organism: Pelobates cultripes (western spadefoot toad)
Lineage: Eukaryota; Metazoa; Chordata; Amphibia; Anura; Pelobatidae
Source: the annotation of a GenBank genome assembly